CAUGGAUGGGUGGAUCGUUAAGCUAUCCGGUAUUAUUUAGCAGGAGUAGUCAAUAAUAAGACCUCACUUUUUAAGCUGCUCAAGUUUCGUCCAUAAAAUUAAUCACGGUACUUUAUUUUGUUUAUCAGUGAAGUGACGGACGGGUUGUAAUCUUGUUUAAGAAGAAGUGAAAUCCAACACGACUUUAUGUUUAGUUAAUCCUCUUGACACGCAGUAUUGGCUGGCUUCUUAUCGCAAGUCCGGUUCAAUAUUUGCUGCUACCUGAUAUCUUCACUCGAACGGAUAAAUUAUUUUCCACUGGAACCCAAUCAAACCACGGAAAGUUCCCAAAGUUGAGUUAAAACAAGGUAAAUCUUGAUUGUGUCAUUUUCUGGGAUUUUUCUCCGCGAUAUUUUUGCGAAUAAUUUGCAUAGACGAAUAAGAAAAUGAUUUAUUAGCAAACUUAAAAUCAUGUAACUUUUGAUGAUGACAUUUUGUGGGAUUUUUCUCUGCAAUAUUUUUUGCGAAUAAUUUGCAUACAUAGACGGAACAAAAAUGACGGAAAAAUCUGGUAAAAAAGUGGACUUUUUACCAAACUCGCUUCCCAACUCUGCAGGAAAUUAUUGGCGUUUACGAGAAGAAGAUAAUAAUCAACCUCUUCCAGCAGGAUUGCAUAAUAAUUCGCAUCAAAACAAAGACCAAGCUGGGAAGAAAGCCGUCCUUCUCAUGCAUCCCAACCCGAACCAGAAGUACUUUAAGAGGAGAGAUUUCCUCGAUAAGGAUAAGAGCAAUGGGGGCAACUUCUUCCGGUACAGGAUUCGCGAACCGUUAUCCCCAUUUCGUGGUCUGGCCAUGAUCACGUUUUGGGUCUGUUUUGGUCUCAUACUUUUUUGCCUGGGAGGACUCGUCGUCACCCUGGUCUACGUCGGAAUGACAUCGCCAACGUCAACGUCAACUGGGGACGAUAAUCCCCACUCGUAUUUUAAUUUGAGAAAUAGUACAUCGAUAAUUUUAAGGGUGCUGUUCGCAAAGCAUUAAUUACUCGAUAGUUAAUUAAUUAUCUCUUAAUUAGUGGUUAUUUUAUACAUUUAUGAACAAAAUCCUGUCAAAAUUCAUGAAUAUUCAGUGAAAUCUUAUGCAUACGAACCCGAACCAGAAGUACUUUAAGAGGAGAGAUUUCAUAGAUAAGGAAAAGAGUAAUGCAACGGCGGGGGGAUUAUUGGGGAGACGGGGGAAUUUUUUCCGGUACAGAUUCGCGAACCCUUAUCACCAUUCCGUGGUCUGGCCAUGAUCACGUUUUGGGUCUGUUUUGGUCUCAUACUUUUUUGUCUGGGAGGACUCGUCGUCACGCUGAUUUAUGUCGGAAUGACAUCCCCAGCGUCUACGUCAACUGGGAAUGAUAAUCCACAUUCGUAUUUUAAUUUGAGAAAUAGUACAUCGAUAAUUUUAAAGGUGCUGUUCGCAAAGCACUGACUCCUGGACAGUUAAUUAGUAGUUAUUUUAUACAUAAUAUUUUGGACAAAAUGCUGCCCAAAUUUGAUUAGUAUUCAGUGAAGAAACUUACGCCUCAUUAUUGGUGUCAUGAUUUAUUGUAGAAAUUUUAUCGUCAUUUGGUGAUCACGUUUUGGCUCUGUUUUGUUCUCAUCCUUUUUUCUCUUGGGGGUCUCGUCAUCGCUCUGGAGUGACAUCGUCAGAGUCAACGGGGGAUGAAAUUCCCCACUCGUACUUUACUCUGAACUCUGAACAUAUCGAUAAUUUUAAAUGUGCUGUUUGCAAAGCACCAAUUUCUUUAUGGUUAACUAACUGUCUCUUAAUGAUGUAGUAAUUGUUCAUUAUUUUAUGCCAUAAGUAGUGAUUGUUUAGUGAAACUGACGCCUCAUUACUAGUGUCAUGACCUUUAAUUUAUGUACAUUACUCACCAAAUGCACGUGAUUUUAAACGUGCCAUUUACAAAACAAAGAUAAUUACUUAACAGUGAAUUGUCUCUUAAUUAGUAGUUGUUUUACACAUUUAUGGACAAAAUCCUGCCCAAAUUGCAUAAGUAACUAAUGAUUAUUUAAUGAAACUGAUGCCACAUAAUUUACACGAGGCACUAAUUUAAAUAUGUUACACAUGUUACAUACGUUCCAAAAUGUAUAAAAAAAUCAUGUAUGUACAUUAUGCAUUUAUAUUUACGAAUGUACGUCAGCAGUGGUCCACUUUUCGGGCGAAUUUAAAUUUCUAGGUUUACUUCCUUACUCGUAUGAAUUGUAAAUUGUUUCAUGAUUCUCAUUCAUACGGUGACAUUUAUAUUUAUAACUCGUGUACAAAAUAAGUAAUAAAAUUUGUAAUAGUAAAAAAAUCGACUAAAUCCUCCUGUAUUACGUAGAACCAUUGGUACUUUGUCUCAUGGAGUCUGUCCCAAAAAUGUACACAUGCCUCUAAUCAAUAAAUAUCUGCUUGUGGUUUUUGGUUAAGUAAUUUUUGCAACAAACUCGACUUAAUAUUUUAUCAGAGUGUAGCAAAAUGUUUUUGGUUUUUAGUUAGUUACCAUUCGCACCUUUGGCUGACAUCAUCUAUUUUACAUUAUCAUACAUAGUGCUGCUGCACCUUAUCAUCCACGUCUACCCAUCGGAAUGCAGGCUGCAUCCCAGGUUCAAGUGCUGCACGUUCACGUAUAAGGACGCGCACUUGUUAGCGGUGAAGAAAACGAAGGAAAAAUCGACUUGGAAGAAAUGGAAAGCGAAUUCGAAAACGACGCUGAAACGCUUCGGCGAAGUGCUUGGCGUGGAAGAGAGCGAGUUCAAGAGCUGUAUUUACAUCCCAAAAAGUGAAGAGGAUCAAGUUCAGCAGUUCGUACGGAAGAAUUUUUCAGAUUCGAGAAUUAAGUUUGAAAGCUGUCGAUUUGUGAAACGAGGAAGCACAUUUUUUGAAAAGGUGGCACAAAGGUUGAGAGGUGUUUUUGGGAUUAUUUUUGAGCUUACGUAUCCAGACAGUUCGGCAGUCGUGGAAGAGUACAAUUUUCGCCUAAAGGACAUUUCCGUAAUUACGACGUACGUCCAGGAACGCAUAGUGGAAAAGGGAUGAUAAUCAGAAUUGUAAUUUAAAUAUUUAAAAUUUAAUUAACGGUUAAUACUUUUUGUCACUUUUUAAGUUUUUUAAAAUGGCUGAUAUAGAUUAUUAAAUAAUAAACUUUUUGGUUUGAUAAACGUAAA
RNA transcript from Folsomia candida, 3173 nucleotides. RefSeq lists it as uncharacterized. Lineage: Eukaryota; Metazoa; Arthropoda; Collembola; Entomobryomorpha; Isotomidae. The transcript is spliced from 6 exons. The record is from RefSeq and is a predicted model, not a curated record.